Molecule: long non-coding RNA, 1840 nt
Organism: Alexandromys fortis (reed vole)
Lineage: Eukaryota; Metazoa; Chordata; Mammalia; Rodentia; Cricetidae
Exons: 3
Source: RefSeq, a predicted model, not a curated record
ACCAAGGGACCUAGUGAAUCUGGUCAGUUUCAGGAACUUCCUGAAACUAUUCUGAGUUAGUUUGCCUCUGGCUUCAGGAGCUUCUGGGAUGGUGGACGGUUCCGAUCUCAGAGGAACUGAUAAGCAUAAGUUCGUUGUUUUACUUACUAACCCCACAAAAUAACUCAGGGCCCUGGAUCUGAUGCCUACAUGAAGUCUAGCCAUGUGAUUUGAGUUAAAAUUAGAUGGCUGGCUCUCAGUUUUUUAAUUUAAUAUAGUAAAACAGAACUAAACAAAUUUAUCAUGAAGUAGAAAACCUUUCUUCAGGAAACUUAGAGUGAUCUUCCCGGCAUGGUUUGUAAAUUCCUUUCUUGGUCAUCAUACCAGCAUGCAGUGUCCAGGCCAGUUCCUGCCCCGCCCCUCUUUUCUACUAGCUUCCAGGAAUUACAGAUGAUGUCCAAAUCCUGCUGGGUGGUAUCCUUAGUAAGACCUUUAAAACUUAUACAUUGUGGUGUACCUGCUUUUGUUUAGCAUUCAUUUUCAUUUUCUUGAGUGUCUUUUGAAUAUCCAGCAUGGUGUCGGUCAGAGGGAACUUCAGAGAAUGAAAAAAAAAUCUCCCAUCACUAGAGUCUUAUGUUCCUGAGAGUUAGAGAAUAGUGGUCAAAUGCCUAUACAUGCAGUUGGGCCAGCUCGCAGCCUUGUGUUGGAGACCUAAAACACAUGAGGGAGUAUUGGAAGCUUAGAUAGGGUAUUCACUUAAUCUGUGGCACUGAAAGUAAUCAAUAGAAGCAUUUAAAUCAUUAAAAAAUUAUUUUGUAUGGAUGGGUAUUUUGCCUACCCUCAUGUCUGGUGACUGGAGGCCAGAAGAAGGCAUCCGAUUCCCUGGAACUGAUCUUACAAUGGCUGUGAGCCACCAUGUGGGUGCCAGGAGUUGUGCCAUCUGUGCCGCCCACAGCAGAGCAUCUUACACGGAAUAGAUGACAGCUGUCUGGACGUUAGUUACCGGUUCACACGGAAGCACGGGCAGACCAAGUGGCUCUCUCUCUCCCUUAGCUUUUUUUCUCAUUCUCGCUCAUUUUUCUUUUCUAAAGGUGUGUGUGUGUGUGUGUGUGUGUGUGUGUGUGUAAUUGCUGCAUGUAUGGGUGCCAGCAUGGGCAAGAAGAGAACAGUCAGUCCCCUAGAGCCAGUUACAGCCAGUUGUGACCCAUUGGCAUGGGUACUGGGACCCAAAUUUGAGUCUUCUGGAAGAGUAACAAACUUUAACUGCUAAGCCGUCUUCCUAGCCCCAGAUGCUCAUUUUCCAGUACUCAGAUAUAAAGCCAGUUAUGUUUCUACUUCCUCAUGAUCAUUUAGAAUAAUUCCUAACUCCGGGAUCUAAAACAUUUAUAGCCUGUUUAUAGUAUUUGUGACCUUAUUUAGGCAUUAUUUCUAAAGUUCUGUUUCUGUUUCUGCAGUGUAUCAUUCUUGUCAUAGUGAGGAGAAGUGUCCCCCCUGUACCUUCUUAACUCAGAAGUGGUGCAUGGGCAAGCAUGAGUUACGAAGCAACAUCCCCUGUCACCUGGUUGACAUCUCUUGCGGAUUACCCUGUAGUGCCAUGCUACCCUGCGGGAUGCACAAAUGUCAAAGACUCUGUCACAGAGGAGAAUGUCUUGUGGACGAGGCCUGCAAGCAGCCCUGUACCACCCCCAGAGCUAACUGUGGCCACCCAUGUAUGGCACCCUGCCACCCCAGUUCACCCUGCCCUGUGACAGCUUGUAAAGCCAAGGUAGAGUUACAGUGUGAAUGUGGGAGAAGAAGAGAAAUGGUGAUCUGCUCGGAAGCAUCCGGCACCUAUCACAGGUGAGUGCUGCAGCUGUCCUCG